Molecule: ribosomal RNA, 459 nt
Filed under: uncultured bacterium
Lineage: Bacteria
Description: partial 16S ribosomal RNA
Rfam family: Bacterial small subunit ribosomal RNA
Source: RNAcentral
CCUACGGGAGGCAGCAGUGAGGAAUAUUGGUCAAUGGGCGCGAGCCUGAACCAGCCAAGUAGCGUGAAGGAUGACUGCCCUCCGGGUUGUAAACUUCUUUUAUAAAGGAAUAAAGUGAGGCACGUGUGCCUUUUUGUAUGUACUUUAUGAAUAAGGAUCGGCUAACUCCGUGCCAGCAGCCGCGGUAAUACGGUGGAUCCGAGCGUUAUCCGGAUUUAUUGGGUUUAAAGGGAGCGUAGAGGGGUUGUUAAGUCAGUGGUGAAAGUUUGCGGCUAAACCGUAAAAUUGAAGUUUAAACUGGCAGUCUUGAGUACAGUAGAGGUGGGCGGAAUGCGGGGGGUAGCGGUGAAAUGCUAGAUAUCACGAAGAACUCCGAUAGCGAAGGCAGUUCACUGGACUGCAACUGACACUGAGGCUCGAAAGUGUGGGUAUCAAACAGGAUUAGAUACCCCAGUAGUC